Glossina fuscipes is the source of this 1250-nucleotide long non-coding RNA. RefSeq lists it as uncharacterized. Lineage: Eukaryota; Metazoa; Arthropoda; Insecta; Diptera; Glossinidae. The transcript is spliced from 5 exons. The record is from RefSeq and is a predicted model, not a curated record.
AGAUACUUAAAUAUAUUGCACGUUAAUGUCUAGGUGCCGUAUUUAAAACGACUCGAAUCAAUGUGCGCCCGAUCAUCAGCAAAUUAAUGAAAUUUUACAAAAAUUUCCAUUUACACACAAUUCUACCCGUUGCAAGGCAAAUCGGGCAUCGUCGGUAUGACACUGGCUCUCUGGUUAUUGCUAAUCUUGUUAAUUCCAACAGAGUGUUAUGAACGGAGACCGUUCAACACGCACGAUUAAGUGUUAAAAAUGCCACGAGCUAUUGAUGAAAAUACAACAACAACUAUCCUAUCCUAUAUAAGGACGUUACGGGUAUGCCAAAAUAAUAAUAAUGAUGACGACGACGAUGAUGAUGAUAACGGUUUAAAAACAAUAAUAACAAUAACAACAACAACAAUAGUAUAAUAACAACGUGUGAUAUUUUGUUAACAUAUACGAGUAGGAGUCAAACAAUUAUGGAUCAAAAAAAAAAUAUGUUGUAUUUGUUUUUUUAUAGUAUUCUCUGGAGCGCCUACGAUCUUCAGGAGCGAAAUAGCAAGUCAGAGUAGAAGAGGUCUCUAGCAGUCGUCAUUGUGCAAUAUUUGCCUUUAAACGCAAUUCAGUCAGACGCAGUCAGUUAGUUGUGCGGCUAUAGAAUUCUUUUCGAACGCGAAACGUGGAUGCUGUUGCAUGAAUGAAAACUCAUCUAAAAAAAUCCCGAAACGAAUAACUUUGUAAAAUAUGAACAACUAUGAAGGUUUUUUUCAUGCAAAGAGGAGACAUUCGCUCAGCACUGGGAAGCCGGCGUUCACGUUGCCAAAUCAACAACAUGUUGCAUUCGUUGCACAUGGCGGUUUCAGAUAUUGUCACAUAAAGCAACAAUUACCCACAUACAUGCAUAUCCUGCUCUAUUCCUAUUCUAUACGCACAGCGUGGCCUUUUCAUAUGCAGUGCAUACACUUAUGCAAUCGCGUGGUGUUUGGAAAUGAACCGUCACAUUGGCACGCGUUUCACAUAGUCUACCAACUCAUAACGUCACACAUUCGUUCGCAUUUCACAUAAAAACUUACAGAUUUUUAUUGUUACGUGUUACGUUUUAUAUUAUUUGGACUGCGAGCUCAAAACUAACAGAACGCAACAAUGCCAUAAAAAUGUUGUUAUGUUGUUCGCACACAAAUUGAUUCCGGCUAACAUUACUACAACUGUUACGAUUACUACUAUUCCUAUGACGGUACACAUAUAUACAAACUGUGGGGUAAACGGGGAGCAAU